GAUGAACGCUGGCGGCGUGCCUAAUACAUGCAAGUCGAGCGAACGGACGAGAAGCUUGCUUCUCUGAUGUUAGCGGCGGACGGGUGAGUAACACGUGGAUAACCUACCUAUAAGACUGGGAUAACUUCGGGAAACCGGCGCUAAUACGGGAUAAGAUUUUGAACCACAUGGUUGAAAGGUGAAAGACGGUCUUGCUGUCACUUCUAGAUGGUUCCGCGCUGCAUUAGCUAGUUGGGAAGGUAACGGGUUACCAAGGCGACGAGGCAUAGCCGAACUGAGAGGGGGAUCGGCCACACUGGAGCUGAGACAGGGUCCAGACUCCUAAGGGAGGCAGCAGUAGGGAAUGUUCCGCAAUGGGCGAAAGCCUGACGGAGCAACGCCGCGUGAGUGAUGAAGGUCUUCGGAUCGUAAAACUCUGUUAUGAGGGAAGAACAUAUGUGUAAGGAACUGUGCACAUCUUGACGGUACCUAAUCAGAAAGCCACGGCUAACUACGUG
This 497-nucleotide ribosomal RNA is filed under the name uncultured bacterium. RNAcentral's name for it is "partial 16S ribosomal RNA". It matches the Rfam family "Bacterial small subunit ribosomal RNA", at positions 28 to 507 of the family's 1533-position model. The record is from RNAcentral.